This 507-nucleotide ribosomal RNA is filed under the name uncultured bacterium. RNAcentral's name for it is "partial 16S ribosomal RNA". The record is from RNAcentral.
GGAGUUAGCCGGUGCUUCUUCUGUGAGUGAUGUCCUUCCUGCCGGCUAUUAACCCGCAGGCCUUCUUCCUCACUGAAAGUGCUUUACAACCCGAAGGCCUUCUUCACACACGCGGCAUGGCUGGAUCAGGGUUGCCCCCAUUGUCCAAUAUUCCCCACUGCUUCCUCCCGUAGGAGUCUGGGCCGUGUCUCAGUCCCAGUGUGGCUGAUCAUCCUCUCAGACCAGCUACGGAUCGUCGCCUUGGUUAGCCGUUACCUCACCAACCAGCUAAUCCGACAUAGGCUCAUCCGAUAGCGCGAGGCCCGAAGGUCCCCCGCUUUCCCCCGUAGGGCGUAUGCGGUAUUAGCCUGGGUUUCCCCAGGUUAUCCCCCACUACCGGGCAGAUUCCUAUGCAUUACUCACCCGUCCGCCGCUCGCCACCAGGGAGCAAGCUCCCCGUGCUGCCGCUCGACUUGCAUGUGUUAGGCCUGCCGCCAGCGUUCAAUCUGAGCCAUGAUCAAACUCUGA